RNA transcript from Sesamum indicum (sesame), 1507 nucleotides. It is a transcript of the gene named protein DEHYDRATION-INDUCED 19 homolog 7, with no coding region annotated. The record is from RefSeq and is a predicted model, not a curated record. NCBI's taxonomy places the organism in Eukaryota, Viridiplantae, Streptophyta, Magnoliopsida, Lamiales, Pedaliaceae.
UAACGCGGGAGGGAGUUGACGGGUAUUCGGGUCUCGGAUUCGUGUACCCUAAGAAUCCAUCGCCCACCCGAAAAUCUCCUCCAAUCCAUAAUUUGUGUGUUCUCCUCCUGCGUGUUUUGGUUUCUCGCUAGUUCUUUCCUCCCCUUCUUUCUCUUUCUCAACAUUGACUCGCUUACUGCUCGCAGGAGGGGGAAAAACACCAACCCCCCCGAACCCUACUACUACCCACUUCUUUAAUUUACAUAUAUCGUGUAGAGUUUCAUCUGCAAUAAUUUAAUUCAAUUUGAUAAUGGGCGAUCGGUGUUACGAGGAUUUGGAAAUUGCGUUAUCCUCAUAUUCCAAACGCUGCGUCGAUGAUUACGACGAGGAGGAAGAGGAAACGGAAGGGGAGUAUGAGGAUGAAUACGUCAACGAUGUCGAGAACGAACCGAAAUCGGACGAAUUGGCAUGUCCGUUUUGCUCCGAGGACUUUGAUGUUCUAGGAUUGUGCUGCCACAUUGAUGCCGAUCAUCGCAUGGAGGUUAAACCCGGGAUCUGUCCUGUUUGUGCUACGAAGGUGCGGAUAAACAUGGCUUCGCAUGUCAUUACGCAGCACGAGAACAUUUUAAGAGCUCUCUGCAAUAAGAAGCACCGUAGUGCUCGCUCUCGUUCAGCGAUAUUUCUGCUGAGAAAAGAUUUGCAGGAUAAACAUUUACGAUGUAUUAAGGAGUCUCCUUCUGCUGAAUCUUCCUCCAAUAAGGCAGCUGAUUCCAUGCUUUUGUCAUUUGUCAAUAAUCCAAGCCAUGCUUACAGGCCUCAAGCCAAUGAAUCUGCUUCCUUCACUGAACCAAGCUUAUCAACAGAAAAAUCUAAGGAUGAUUCUUUGGAGAGGUGAUUUAUGCAUUCACUAUGAGUGUGCUUGAGGAAUGACUUGGGGGCUGGGGGUGGUAUCGGUUGUUUGUUGGUAAAGGUUGCUUAUACGGCAUUUGAGUAAAUUUCAGAUGUCUUUUUCUGCUUCAAGAACAAUGCCUUGGAUGGCUGAACGUGAUCACAACCAACUCCACCAACAGACAGGAAUAAUGAGGGGGCCAGGAGGCGUGAAUUUUUACAGGGAUUAGUAUUGUCCACAAUUUUUGACGACUUAUGAGCGGCAGGAUUAGUGUAGCCAAUCACUGACAAAGAAGGCCAUGGUGUCUUGCUGAUGGAUUUAACCAAAAUGUCUGCACAUGCGAUUGAACGGGACCUGUUAGACAAAGCAGUUUCUCGACCCUAAUAUUGUCUUGGCCUGUUUUCAGUUGAGCCAUUAGUAUAUAUUGAUGAUAGAUACCUAAUGCAUUGUGAUGUAGGACGCUUAUCUGUUUUCAGGCCGUAGUGCUUUUAGUCCUUUGCGUUUUGGUUAAUCUAAUGUAUUUCCUUUGCUCAUUUCCUGUUUGUAAUUUGUGUACUUCAACUACGGACAAAGUAUUGCCGGGAUCAGUUGAUUGUCUACUCCAAUAAAAAGCAGAAACAGCAGUUUGAGUUCUACGCC